RNAcentral lists this ribosomal RNA (1284 nucleotides) under Triticum aestivum (bread wheat). RNAcentral's name for it is "partial small subunit ribosomal RNA". Lineage: Eukaryota; Viridiplantae; Streptophyta; Magnoliopsida; Poales; Poaceae. The record is from RNAcentral.
AUGCCUGAGAGGCGCAAGAAAGCCGCGGCCAGCGGUGAGGACCGCAUCAGCACCCUCCCCGACGCGCUCCUGCUGCACACGUUGUCCUUGUUGCCGUCGGAUGAGGCCGUGCAGACUUGCGUCCUCGCCCGCCAGUGGCGCAAUCUCUGGACGUACACUCCCAGCCUGCGCCUCAUCCAUGAGGACAAGCCCAGGUUCAGCAGCGCGGAGCACUUCAACAAGUUCGUGAGCCAUUUGAUCGUCCUCCGUGAUCGCUCCCCUCUUGUAAACUGUGAGAUUGAACUCUAUCCAUUUUAUCCAUAUCCUUUUAAUCCAAAUGGUCCUCCAGUCCAGCUAUGGAUCCAGUACGCCCUAGCAUGCCAGGUUCGCUUGCUCAAUAUUAUUGACAACUGUGGCGACCAACGAUUGCUCCUCAAUGUUCCCUUCAUCUCCUCGUACCUGAUGACCUUACAUCUUCAGAAUGUUACCUUAGAAUCCUCUAUGGAUUUCUCGAGCUGUCUAGUAUUGGAGAAUCUGGAGAUAACAUAUUGCAACAUUUUCAUGCACAAGAUAUCAUCCAAAUCACUCAAGCGUUUGUGCAUCGCAUAUGGUUACUUCCGCACUGAAGUCCGCACUCGGAUCUCUGUCCCGGGUAUUCUUUCGCUGCAUCUAGAAGACGGGCAUGUCAGGACUCCUGUGCUCGAAAACAUGCCAUUGCUAGAGACAGCAUUCGUUAGGUUGGAAGAAAGAUGUUUGGAUCAAUGUGAUAAUGGUGAUGGAAAUUGUGAUCAAGAAAGCUGUGAUGGAUGUUAUGGUUUUCAUGGUCAUUAGAGUGUGCUUCUUAAUGGUUUGUCCAAUGCUAUCAAUCUGGAGUUGAUAUCUCAAGCUGAAAAGUAUAUCUUCAGAAGGGAUGUGGCACGGUGCCCCAUAUUUGGCAGGUUGAAGACUCUCGUACUUAGUGACUGGUGUGCGGCUGUUGAUAUGUACUCCCUCCGUUCCAAAAACGCAAUAGGAGUAGAAGGAAACCAUGUUCCAGCAGAACUAUCAUUUGUAUGCACGCAACUUAAGGUAGCCAACAUUGAAUGUCAAGAGCUCGAUGGGAAGGUUCUGAAAAUUUGGAAUAUUUUGAGGACAUGUGGCGUACAUCCUGAGAAAAUUAGCAUCAAGAUCAAACAUGCAGGCUUUUACCGUAAGUUAACUGUGGUCAUUUCUUCAUGCAUGGUAUCUUUCUGCAGUCACUACAGUCCUUGUUUAAAUCAAACUAAGAAACCAUGUUCUAAUAAUCUUGUUCUAGGAUGUGUUUAA